GGCCGGCCGGUAUUCUCGAACCUUCAUGUGCUUUCCCCUCUCCCCCACCCCAACCGCCUACCGCUCCGCAACGCUCGCCCCCCGCCCGCAACGGGCGGGGGGGGUGGAGCUUCGCGUGCGCGGGAGCCAAUGAGAGCCCUCCAGCGGCCGCAUGCGGGUGACGACACCGGCGUUUGCGCCAGUAAAUCUCUCUCGGAGCACGAUAAGGUAUGCCAGCAGCGUGUUGCUGCUCUAAUCCUCCCUGUUCUGUUCAACAAGGCAAAAGGCAGUGUUCUCCGAUUUCUCCCCACACCCUCAUUCUCACCCAGGCAGAGGAAACCAUGUUGUCUGCGCUGUUUUAAGGUGACAUCGGUUUCUCCACAGAGCAGAAUCCGGCCUCCACAGCAUCUCCAGCCCUACUUUUUAUUCCAUCCUAAGAUUUUUCUCGUCCAUAAUCGGUGCUAAGGCACCAAGUGACACUCCUUGGUAUGUCAGCGCUGCUCACUGCAUGCUCUCAGCACGACUGACUUCAGUGGAAAGGAAACGGAGGCUCUGAACGGUGGAAAACCAUGGCUGUUCAGUGUCCUUGGGGAUCAAGCGAGCAGAUGGACGACUGCAAACAUUCAGCUGGUCUCAGCGCCUUAGGCUGAAAGCUGAUCAGAGGUCAUAAAUCACGUAAGAUUUCAGUAAAGAAGAUGGCUGAUGAUGGGAGACCUCUGCGCAAAACACCCCCAGGGAAAGAAGGCUGAAGCACUGCAAGAGAAAUCAACCACAGUUAUGUUUAGUUACACUAAAUUCCGCCUACAUCUCCCUGACCGGAGAUUCCUGUUAGCUAGUUAAAAAUGUUUAUCUGCAGAGAAGAUCUAAACUGUCUGAACACAGCUCUUCAAGGUUUCAUUGUCAUCUCACGCCCAGUUCUAGAGAUGAACUGAAACUCAGCGGCUGGUUCGGAAGUAAGGUCGCAGAUGCGGGAGUGCAGUGUCACUGGAGUUUUGUAUCUGUGCCGUGUCUAUGCUGGCACUAUUUACCAUACUAGCUUGAAGCAUCUACAUCCUCAGCCAAAAUAUCUCAGGUGAAAUAGCUGCAUGGAAGUCAAAAUGCCAUUUACUUCAGU
Molecule: long non-coding RNA, 1093 nt
Organism: Harpia harpyja (harpy eagle)
Lineage: Eukaryota; Metazoa; Chordata; Aves; Accipitriformes; Accipitridae
Exons: 3
Source: RefSeq, a predicted model, not a curated record